This 497-nucleotide ribosomal RNA is filed under the name uncultured bacterium. Its description in RNAcentral is "partial 16S ribosomal RNA". It matches the Rfam family "Bacterial small subunit ribosomal RNA", at positions 28 to 507 of the family's 1533-position model. The record is from RNAcentral.
GAUGAACGCUGGCGGCGUGCCUAAUACAUGCAAGUCGAGCGAACAGAUAAGGAGCUUGCUCCUUUGACGUUAGCGGCGGACGGGUGAGUAACACGUGGGUAACCUACCUAUAAGACUGGGAUAACUUCGGGAAACCGGAGCUAAUACCGGAUAACAUUUGGAACCGCAUGGCUCUAAAGUGAAAGAUGGUUUUGCUAUCACUUAUAGAUGGACCCGCGCCGUAUUAGCUAGUUGGUAAGGUAACGGCUUACCAAGGCAACGAUACGUAGCCGACCUGAGAGGGUGAUCGGCCACACUGGAACUGAGACACGGUCCAGACUCCUACGGGAGGCAGCAGUAGGGAAUCUUCCGCAAAGGGCGAAAGCCUGACGGAGCAACGCCGCGUGAGUGAUGAAGGGUUUCGGCUCGUAAAACUCUGUUAUUAGGGAAGAACAAACGUGUAAGUAACUGUGCACGUCUUGACGGUACCUAAUCAGAAAGCCACGGCUAACUACGUG